This 24-nucleotide non-coding RNA is filed under the name Arabidopsis thaliana (thale cress). The record is from RNAcentral. Lineage: Eukaryota; Viridiplantae; Streptophyta; Magnoliopsida; Brassicales; Brassicaceae.
GAACCCUAUCACUCAGCCAAUACA